RNAcentral lists this ribosomal RNA (468 nucleotides) under uncultured bacterium. Its description in RNAcentral is "partial 16S ribosomal RNA". It matches the Rfam family "Bacterial small subunit ribosomal RNA", at positions 28 to 507 of the family's 1533-position model. The record is from RNAcentral.
GACGAACGCUGGCGGCGUGCUUAACACAUGCAAGUCGAACGGAAAGGCCCUGCUUUUGUGGGGUGCUCGAGUGGCGAACGGGUGAGUAACACGUGAGUAACCUGUCCCUGACUUUGGGAUAACUUCAGGAAACUGGGGCUAAUACCGGAUAGGAGCUCCUGCUGCAUGGUGGGGGUUGGAAAGUUUCGGCGGUUGGGGAUGGACUCGCGGCUUAUCAGCUUGUUGGUGGGGUAGUGGCUUACCAAGGCUUUGACGGGUAGCCGGCCUGAGAGGGUGACCGGCCACAUUGGGACUGAGAUACGGCCCAGACUCCUACGGGAGGCAGCGGUGGGGAAUAUUGCACAAUGGGCGGAAGCCUGAUGCAGCAACGCCGCGUGCGGGAUGACGGCCUUCGGGUUGUAAACCGCUUUCGCCUGUGACGAAGCGUGAGUGACGGUAAUGGGUAAAGAAGCACCGGCUAACUACGUG